CUACACAUGCAGUCGAGCGGAUGAAGGGAGCUUGCUCCUGGAUUCAGCGGCGGACGGGUGAGUAAUGCCUAGGAAUCUGCCUGGUAGUGGGGGAUAACGUCCGGAAACGGGCGCUAAUACCGCAUACGUCCUGAGGGAGAAAGUGGGGGAUCUUCGGACCUCACGCUAUCAGAUGAGCCUAGGUCGGAUUAGCUAGUUGGUGGGGUAAAGGCCUACCAAGGCGACGAUCCGUAACUGGUCUGAGAGGAUGAUCAGUCACACUGGAACUGAGACACGGUCCAGACUCCUACGGGAGGCAGCAGUGGGGAAUAUUGGACAAUGGGCGAAAGCCUGAUCCAGCCAUGCCGCGUGUGUGAAGAAGGUCUUCGGAUUGUAAAGCACUUUAAGUUGGGAGGAAGGGCAGUAAGUUAAUACCUUGCUGUUUUGACGUUACCAACAGAAUAAGCACCGGCUAACUUCGUGCCAGCAGCCGCGGUAAUACGAAGGGUGCAAGCGUUAAUCGGAAUUACUGGGCGUAAAGCGCGCGUAGGUGGUUCAGCAAGUUGGAUGUGAAAUCCCCGGGCUCAACCUGGGAACUGCAUCCAAAACUACUGAGCUAGAGUACGGUAGAGGGUGGUGGAAUUUCCUGUGUAGCGGUGAAAUGCGUAGAUAUAGGAAGGAACACCAGUGGCGAAGGCGACCACCUGGACUGAUACUGACACUGAGGUGCGAAAGCGUGGGGAGCAAACAGGAUUAGAUACCC
Molecule: ribosomal RNA, 742 nt
Filed under: bacterium Riz7
Lineage: Bacteria
Description: bacterial SSU rRNA
Rfam family: Bacterial small subunit ribosomal RNA
Source: RNAcentral